RNAcentral lists this small RNA (132 nucleotides) under Klebsiella pneumoniae. RNAcentral describes it as "RtT sRNA". It matches the Rfam family "RtT RNA". From Rfam's summary of the family: This family represents a bacterial cis-regulatory element known as RtT RNA. The exact function of RtT is unknown although it is thought that it may be involved in changing the cellular response in relation to amino acid starvation. Lineage: Bacteria; Pseudomonadati; Pseudomonadota; Gammaproteobacteria; Enterobacterales; Enterobacteriaceae. The record is from RNAcentral.
UAUUCUGCCCCACGGGGAAGGAUGAGAAGCUUCGACUAAGGUUCGACUCGAGCGAAGCGAGAGAACGUUGCCGCAGGGCAAGGGCCCGAAGGCGAGGCGCUUUAGCGCCGAGUAAUCCUUCCCCCACCACUG